UCAGACGAUGCGUCAUGCAUAUCAAUAAGCGGAGGAAAAGAAACUAACAAGGAUUCCCCUAGUAACGGCGAGUGAAGCGGGAAGAGCUCAAAUUUGAAAUCUUAAAGGGUUUCCCCUUACGAAUUGUAGUUUAAAGAAGUGUUUUCUGUUGAGGUUUUGGUAAAAGUUCUUUGGAAUAGGACAUCAUAGAGGGUGAGAAUCCCGUAUUUGACCUUUACUUUCAACCUUGUGAUACACUUUCAAAGAGUCGGAUUGUUUGGGAAUGCAGUCCAAAAUGGGUGGUAAAUUUCAUCUAAAGCUAAAUAUUGGCGAGAGACCGAUAGCGAACAAGUACUGUGAGGGAAAGAUGAAAAGAACUUUGAAAAGAGAGUUAAACAGUACGUGAAAUUGUCAAAAGGGAAGCGUUUGACACCAGUGUUGUUUUUCUGAAAAUCAAUUAAAGAACUGUUUAUGCUAAGCUGUUUAGACUUUAUCAGCUAUCUGUUUAGUUUUAGGCUUUUCUUUAAUGCACUUUUCAGUUAACAAGUCAACAUCAAUUUCUUUUGCUGUAAAAAAGCUUGAGGAAGGUGGCUUGAGAUUCGUCUUAAGUGUUUAUAGCCUCUUGCCUAUGCAGUCGGAGAGAUUGAGGUCUGCAGCGUAGAUCCUUCGGGGCUAAAUGCAUUUGUGCUAAGUUAUAGCAUUUUAUAGACAACUUGUUGACUAUGAUUUGUCUUGUAGCUUACUCGCUUAUGUUAUUUUACCUACGCUUAGGAUGUUGACACACGCGCGUGCUCG
This 774-nucleotide ribosomal RNA is filed under the name uncultured Neocallimastigales. Its description in RNAcentral is "partial large subunit ribosomal RNA". It matches the Rfam family "Eukaryotic large subunit ribosomal RNA", at positions 18 to 643 of the family's 3401-position model. The record is from RNAcentral. Lineage: Eukaryota; Fungi; Neocallimastigomycota; Neocallimastigomycetes; Neocallimastigales.